This 324-nucleotide ribosomal RNA is filed under the name uncultured eukaryote. RNAcentral's name for it is "partial 18S ribosomal RNA". It matches the Rfam family "Eukaryotic small subunit ribosomal RNA", at positions 1470 to 1796 of the family's 1831-position model. The record is from RNAcentral.
CUCUUAGAUGUCCUGGGCUGCACGCGCGCUACACUGAUGUGUCCAGUAAGCACCUAACCUCUUCCGAAAGGAACGGGUAACCUUUGCAAAGCACAUCGUGAUGGGGAUAGAUUAUUGCAAUUAUUAGUCUUGAACGAGGAAUUCCUAGUAAGCACAAGUCAUCAGCUUGUGUUGAUUACGUCCCUGCCCUUUGUACACACCGCCCGUCGCUCCUACCGAUUGAAUGUUCCGGUGAGCUCUUCGGACUGCGCGGUCUGCAGUUUCUGCGUUCCGUGCGGAAAGUUGCGCAAACCUUAACAUUUAGAGGAAGGAGAAGUCGUAACA